UUCAGAAUGAAGGGUAAAAUUUCUCCAGACUUGGUUGGUCUUGUUCUUUUGUUGAUAUUAGUAGAGAUGUAAUAGAAAUCUGAUUCUAAUUUUAAUUUGUCAAAUUUCUACCCUACUUGGACAUGUUGGCUGCCUGUGAGUUGUGACAGAUGAUUGUCUUAACACCACACUUCCAUGAGACUCUAAAAUAGUCUAUACUAGUAACUUGCUAAGCAAGAAUAUAAUGCAAUCCUUGGAUCUUAAGGUGACCUUUGGGAAUACAUUGUUGCAUGUAUACUGUUUGCUCUUGAUCUGACAUUGUUUUAUUGAAGUUUGGGGCAUUAAAAGGAAAUGUUACUCAGCAUAUUGAUGUUUCCACUGUGAUUGCUUGCCAAAAAGAAGGAAUGAUCAGCUUUACCAUUUCUAUUAUCUGCUACACUUGGCAAUUAGGCUUCUUCUUUCUUGGAAAUUAAAGUUUAUAUACAAGUUUUUCCUCAUUUGACAUCUACUGGAACCAGUAGCCCAUGAAUUUCUUAGACUCUCAUAGAGUAUCUGCUAUUUUGUUA
Molecule: long non-coding RNA, 545 nt
Organism: Ipomoea nil (Japanese morning glory)
Lineage: Eukaryota; Viridiplantae; Streptophyta; Magnoliopsida; Solanales; Convolvulaceae
Exons: 2
Source: RefSeq, a predicted model, not a curated record